UUUUUUUUUUUAAGUGAGAACAAAAACUGAAAAUUUGAAAAACGAAAUAGUUAUUAAACGGAGCCUCAAUUUGUCUCACUAAAAUUCAUAUUUUAGGGAGAAAUUUGCGUGGCAAGUUCGCGUGUUUACGUUCAAGACGGAAUUUAUGAUGAAUUUGUGAAGAAGUUAAAAGACGAGGUGAAAACUUGGGUAGUUGGGGAUCCUUUUGAUCCUAAUGUUCGUCAAGGACCCCAGGUAAUUAAUCAUUACCGUCUAAACUCAUGUUCCAAUAUUUCUAAUUCAAGUACUACAUAUGCUUGAAAAUUCCUCAGCUUUUCAAAAAAUACAACCUCGAAACUUCGUGUUUCGUUUCAUUCCCUGAAAAUCGCAGGUUGAUAAGCAUCAGUUUGAUAAAGUUUUAACGUACAUUGAGCAAGGGAAGAGAGAAGGUGCCACAUUGUUAACUGGGGGUAAACCUUUGGGGGAUAAGGGAUAUUACAUAGAGCCAACAGUAUUCACUGAUGUCAAGGUACAUUAACUUCGUGUUCCUUUUGAUGUCGGAUACAACGUUCUGUCCUCCUUUUUACAGAAAAAAAAUGGAUGGAACGUUAAAUCUGACAUGAUUAAUUUUUUGUUCUCAUUAUUUUAUAACAAUUUGAUCAGGAGGAUGCUUAUAGCCAAAGACGAAAUUUUCGGACCUGUAAUGGCGCUGAUGAAGUUCAAGUAAGCACAGUCUCAUCUCCUGUUCAAUACAAGAAACAUUGUUUUUUAAGCCAUUGCAAUGUUACUUAAUUUUCGAACCUGGGACUCACAUUCUCAACAAUUUUACUGAUGGUACGUAUGACGGUAUGAGCUAAUAUUGCAGGACGAUCGAGGAGGCAAUAAAGAAAGCCAACAACAGCAACUAUGGACUAGCAGCUGGGAUUAUAACCAAGGACCUGAAUGUGGCCAACACCGUCUCCAGGUCGAUUCGUGCGGGCAUUAUUUGGAUCAACUGCUACUUGGCAUUCGAUGGAGACUGCCCUUACGGAGGAUAUAAGAUGAGUGGGUUCGGAAGAGAGCUUGGUUUGCAAGGCCUCCACAAAUAUCUCCAUACCAAAUCUGUUGUCACUCCCAUUUACAACUCUCCCUGGCUCUAAAUUCCCAGACUCUUCAAGGCCAGGCAGAUUGUGAAGUUGCUUCUAGAUUGUCAUGUGUUUGAACUAGCCCAUUUAUACAAUAAGUGUGACAAUAAGUGCGACUUCGAUUGUCAUGUUUGAGCGAACUUGGACGAUAAGUGUGGCUUAGAUUGUCAUGUGUUUGAACUAGCCCGUUUAUAGCAAAAAUAAAUAAAAGGGAGACUUUGGAUGCGGUCCCUAGUUAUGAAUAAUCUUUGACUGCAACUUUUUCAAUUUUUGAUCCAAGUCCCUAAAAUUAAUUGAUAAUUUAUUUCUAUGUACGUUACUAUAUUUUUUAAAUUAAAAAUUAAAAUUUAUAGUUGUUUAUAGUAAUGAGAUUUUAAAUAAAAAACAUAAUUUGUGGGAUUAAAAAUAUUAAAAUAUAAAUAUACUAUGUGUGUGUGUGUGUAAACAUGGGUACAUUCAUAAAAAAUAACCAAAAAAUUAUUGUAUCAAAACAUGGGUACAUUCUUCAAAAUGGGUACAUUUAGCAAAAAUAAAAAUGGGUACAAUACAAAUAAAACUUUAAAAAAUAUGGGCACAAAAAGAAAUUAAUAUAUGGGUACAAAUUAAAAUUGAAAGGAAAAUUGGUACAAAUUAAAAAAGGGUUGCAAAUUAAAAAUGGGUACAAACUAAAAAUAAAAAUAUAUGAUAAAAAAUUUAGCCAUAAAUAUAAAUAUACUAAUUGUAACAUUUUUAAUAUUGAAUGAAUAUAUUUAGAAAUAAAAAAUAUUUUAUUAUUGAAAUAAUUAAUGAUAUUAUUAAUACAAGGGACCUUGAUCAAAAAUUGAAAAGUAAUAAGGUUUUAAUUAAUAGAGUAGUAAAAAUAAGGAUGAAAACCUAAUUAGUUUGAAAUAUAGUAAUAGCCUAUAAGUCAUGAUUAAAUAUGGGUUGAAAAGAAUUUUCCUUCUGCUCUUACUCGAUGGCUACUUGUUUAUAAGAAGUAUAGCACUCAUCACGUAACCUGAUGUAUACCUCCUUGCCGAUUAGGGCGAAGCUCAGACGAGCACGGGGUAUAUUCCAGUGACAAACAAGUACUUCUAAUAUGUACCGCACACUCAACCAAGUGUUUCGUGUGAUUACUAGGAUCCAGCACAGCUUAUACUAUAUGUUAUUCAGCAUUAAGAUGGCCAAGUUUGAACACCAAUAGAAGAGAUCUUUACAUCUCACCGGAAGUACAUCUAAGGGCGGAGGUAGGUAGUGGCUGCCCUAGGCUCUAGGUCAUCCCAUCUUUUAAGAAGUGAACAAACUUGGUGUUAAAAGAGAUUAAAUUCCAUGGUGUUUAUGUGCACUUAGAGUGACUUCAUGUGAACCUUGAGUGAAUUCGCUCGAAAACUUAGGGGAGAGAUUGAAUUUAUUAAAUCAUAAAAUGCACUAUGAAAUUCUUUCAAAUCACCAAAAUCCUUCACUUUUUACUUUUUAGAGGCCUUAUAUCACAAAUGGUUCCUGAAAUUGACACAUCCCAUCAAGAUGAUCCUUGAAAUUGAAAAUCGAUCAAUGUAGUCCCUGAAAAUAGAUGUUGCAAAUCAAUGUGGUCCUUUCGUUAAAAAUUUGUCAAAAUUCUGUUAUGAGCUGACGUGGUACAUAACUAGGUCCCACAAGCCUAAUUAUAUAUUGUUAUAAGAAUUAAAAAGAUUUAAUUAUAAAUAAAAAAUUGUAUAAUUAAAAACUAAAAAAAAAAAAGCAAAAAAAAAAAAAAGUAACAUCUCAGUUUCUAUCCUGAAAUUUCUUGGUUUUCAAAAUUUCGUACAUCAAGUUUUUUUCGUCCGAGAGUGGUACCUAGAGUUAUAAUUAUGGGACAAUUUCAUAGUUAUAAUUAUGGGACAAUUUCAUACUUCCAUUAAACUGUUUGUUAAAAUAGACGUUAACCUAUGAUGUGGCGCCCACGUAAACAAUGAUUGAACGUCAUGUGUUAAUCUGGCCCCAUGUGGAAAUUAAAAAAACUGAAUAAAAUUAAAAAUUGAAGUCGUCGCAAAAAAAUGAUCAGAAUUUUGAAAGAGUUCAUAAAAGUUUGAUUAAAUACCCCUAAAUUUUCUUAAACUCAUUUAAAACCCUAAAUACCAUAAACUAAAAACCCCAAAGUUGAAAUUUAGCCUACCCUACACUUUGAUUUUACUACAUACUAGAAGGAAAGAAAGUAGCCACCUUUGGAUCAUCUCCAACCGAAUAAGUUAUAGUCCAAACAUCGAUUAGAAAUGAGUUUUUGAACAAAUCAAAUAAUUUCUUAAUUUUAGACCUUUAACCCCAUCCAUGCAAUGACCAAAUCUUAGUCUCCAUAAACAAUGGGAGCCCCAACUGCCCAAGACAGACCACGAAGUUUUAUGCAUCUUUAAUUUCAUCCAUAAUUUCUCACGUAUCUUUGAAAAAAUAAAAAAUAAAUUCUCACGUAUAAAAAGAAAUAUUUGAAUGUGAGUAUUCCAACCAACAAGGGUUUGUUUAGUGUCCCUUCCCAGUAAAUUGAGUUCAUGACUUUCUUCUUUUUAUAAAAAAACAUAAAUUUUAUUCGUAGUUUAGGAGCGCUCAUUAACCGACAUAUCCAAUACAAGGUCUUCGUCCAGUCACAUUGCAAAAGAUUCGUUUCUCAUCCGUUAUUGAUUCACGGUCAAUAAUGCGCAACAUUGCAUGCAUUUAGAGCAAGUUCACCUCACUAAGGCAAUAAUUGUCUCAUCAAUUGAGCAAAAAAAAUUAUUGUUUUAGGGGAUCAAAACAGGUUGGCUGUUUGAUGAAAUUUCAAAGAUCCGGAUCAUUUGAUCUGGUGAUCUUGAUGGAAGAGAUUUAGAGAUGAUCUAUUUCCGCUUCAGUGCGGGCCCCAGUGCAACUGACUUGCCGGCUUACUCGCCCAGCUUUGGCGCAUGAUCCACACACCUGACAUAAACAUUAAAAAAAGACAUGGCAGAUGUUAGAUCCACUCAGGCGCUGGGUUGGGCUACUCCGGCCCGAUUGAGCGGUCGGGCUCUGCUUCCUUCCACUGUAGCUCGACUGAUUGGACUUGGAGUGAAGAGGAUUUUGUAGAUUUUGGGGGAUUCAAGCACCCAAUUGCUCAGGCAAUUAGGAAGGAUGGACUUGCUCUUAUGCGCCUGUAGUUUUUUUAUUUUUCUUCAAAUCUUUGCCAAUCUUUUUCAAUUUAAUGAUUUAUGUCCCACAAUAUUUCAUCAAAUCUCCAUUUGGGACACACAAAAAUCAGCCUUGUUAGUUAGGAUAUUCUUCAUUAAUCCCCUCCAUGGCAAUUUUCCAUGGGUCUUUGUCUCUUCCCUUUAUUAGGUAGAGGUGGUUGUCAAUUGCAGAUAGAGGUGGUUGUUCUACCACAAAAGUUCACAACGCCUAUGUACUUUGAUGUUUUAGUUGAUUGAUCUUUGUUGUUACUAGAACUUUUUAUGGUGAGGGAUUGGAUUCUGAUUCAAAUUCAUGGAAGAAAAAAAUGGCAUCGGCUAUAAACAAGCAUAUAAAUCCAAUCACUAGGGUUAGUAACUAAUAACGAGGGGAUAUUGAAAAAAAAAAAAAGUUGUUUCUCCUAUGAUAAGAAUAUAAAGGAAUGUAAAGAACAUUUUUUGUAAAAUCUUGCCUACUAAUAAGUUUAUAUUGCAACACAAAAUGAAAAGGACAAUAUACAGAAUGGGUAAAAAGAAGUUGUGAUACUUGACUCGAUCAUGAUCCAAAAACACAGGGCACGGAGAUAAUAUAUACAUAUAUAUAUAUAUAUUAUAUAUAUAUAUUAUAUAUAUAAUAGUAGAAGAAUGCACCAAUUCUAGGGAUCCAUAGGAUUAAUUGCAGAUCCAACACAACAAUAAAAAAAAAGGGUUUACGAAGACCGACUUUAGACAGUGGUGAUAAGUCGUAUUUAGAUUGACUCAUUUAUUUUUGUAUCACUAACAAGCUAAUCGAUGCUUAAACUGAAAUAAAAUAUAAUACUAGAUCAACAGAAUAACACAUACUAUUGAUCAGAAAAAAUGUCAAAUUGUAUUCUAAUCGUGUACGCAUUGAAUCCUGUAUUUAUAUAGUGCUUGGAUUUGAUCGUUCCAUUUUGUAGUGUCACAUGUUGCCAUCUCAUAUGUUAAGGCAGAAAAAAAAGGGGUGUUCCCUUUUGUACAUUUUCAUAGUAUAGCUAUUUUUACUUCUAACACACGCUUUUUACUUUUCGGUCAUCUGAUCAAAUAAAUUAAAUAAAAUCAAUGACAAAAAAUUAACAAGAGAGUGAAAAUAAUCGUCCAUAUCGUGUUUGCGCCUAGUUUACAAAUUCUAAUUCAACGAGAAAGGAACUCUUUCUUCAUAUCUGCUCAAAAAUAAAAUGACCAAGUUGCCGUUUUCGUUAGUUUUGUGUGGUGUAAAGAAAACUCAGACCGACGUUUCCAACCACCACAUAAUAAUGUUGAAUACUGACAUGAGCAAUGAGAGAGGAACGGCAGAUGGGAAUUCUAGAUUUCGGAUGCUCCACGGGAACACGAGGAAGGAACUCUUUCUUCGUAAUAUAUCAAACCCAAAUUUCCUUCUUUUGUAGAAAAAGCUAUGAUUCACCUUAAAAUGAACUGAAAUUCAACAUGCAAUAUCUGAAUAGUUUUUUACGGGAAUGAGAGGAGUCGUUUUCAGGUAGGGGGAGGUCUAAUUCGCCGGUUAUCUGCAAGAAUUGCCUCGUCAGGGGUGCGCAGGCAAUCGGAGUCGGUGGGGGAGGAAAUUGAAUUCGAGGAUGAGUGACUCAAAACACUCAAAACAGCAACAAACAAUUAAAAAGACUCAAUUCUAGACCUAACAAGUGAUUUUUACGAAAAUAAGACUUAACUUGACUCAAAAGACUAAAAGAAAAAAAAUUAUGACUCAACUAACAAGACUUAAUGAAAGGAGGAUUGUUUUUUACGAAUUUAAAACUUAAAACAACGAAUCGAAGUCGGAGGAAGAGGUGGAGGAGGAAACUGGUUAGUGAGAUCCCACAUGUUAAAAGGGUCGUUUUCGUUUUUUUAACCAUACCGGCUUAAAAGGAAGGAGAAUAACAGUAAAAGAAGGGCAUUUUUUGUCUUUUUACCGGUAGUAUGGUAGACAUGAAAUAACAGAAACCAAGCGGAAACAAAAUUAGAACUACAUUGUGCUUAUGAAAAGUGAGCUAGUUCAUUAUGAGGUUUGGUUUAGAUUGAAAGUUUGCAAUUACUAGAGUUGACAAAAAUUUACAUUUCACACAUUGUCAACUUGGACCACACGAAAAAAAAGAAGAAGAAAACCCUCGUAAACAACUAUCACAGGGUGAUCCAAUAAUUGAGAACAAAUUUCAAGCUUGUAUUCCAUACAGCAUGUCUGAGUUCGAUUUCUGCCGCUCGUGAAUCGCACGAUGGUCGAUAGGGGAGGCUGAAAUGUCUAUGUGAGUUUUUUUAGCCUCCAAAAUGAUAAACUGUCGUGACGAAGUAACCAGUUGAUCCCUUUUAAAUAAAAAUAAUAAUUCUGUCACAUACCAUAGAUUGGGUGGCAGAUACCGUCUGGUUAACAUAUAUCAUAUGUUACUACGAUACUUAAUUUGGAGUCACUUGAUCCAUGUUGGAAAUUGGAAGAUCCCAAAAGCUAACCCCACCCGUAAUUAAAUCUGGCCCAUCCUCCCAAUAAUAUAGCAUAAAUAUGCCCUCCCAUACACGAAACAAGCACAACAAUUCUCAUCCUUUUCCACACAAACAAGCAGAGAAGAGCAGAAGAAACGGCAGCCAUGGGGAGCGAUUUCAACGGCAGCUCAGCUUCCUUCGUCAAGAUUCCCAUAAUAAAGUUUACCCAACUGUUCAUCAACGGAGAUUUCGUCGAUUCCGUUUCAGGUUUCUCGUCAUUUUUUCCUUCUUCUCGCAAGCAACGAGCUUUCAUUUACUAAACCGUUUCUUUACUGCCCGUUUUCAGCAUGCGUACGUACUGUUUCUGUUUCUUCCUCCACCAAAUUUGCAAACUCUCAACAUUCAAGAACCCGUCUACUUGUUAACUUGUUAAUGGCAUAUAUGAAGAUACAUAUACAUAAUUUAUAUAUGCAGAGCCAGCUCUGAGAUUUUACGUGUCCUGUGCCGAAAAUAACAAAUGAGCCUUGUUUACAAACUCUUGCUACAAAGCUAAUUUGUAUGUCUGUAUAAAGUAUUAUUACAAAUCAACAAAAAUCAAGAAAGAAAAAAAAAAGAGGAAAGCCGGCAAAACCAAACUAAAAACAUAAAAGUUAUUUUUGUACGCAUAUAUAGUUCAUAUUUCUCUUAUUCACAUGCAGAACCUAGAAAAUUUUCAAAACACAGUUUUUUUUUAUACAAACCAAAUUGGUACAUAUGUAGAUGAUAUCAUCUUUUAAGUUUUAAGGGCUAUUAAGAUUAAGGGUCCUUGCAAGGGUACUUAGGCCAUCUCCAACCGAUGGCUGCCCAUAUGACUCGUUUUAGCCCUCUGGCCCUCCAACCCUCCAACCCUCCAACAUAUUAAUAAUUUAAUGAACAGUACAUGACCAUAUUUGCCUCUGUCUCCAACCGAGGGUCAAAUGGCCAGAUGACUUGUUUUAGCCCUGUCACCAAAAACCGUCUCCAACCGAAAGUCAUAGGGCCAAACAUAAUUUAUUAUUUAAAUUUAAAAACUACAACAACUUAAAUUUAAAAACUACAACUUAUAUUUAAAAACUACAACUAAAAUUUAAAAAUGACAAAUUAAAUUAAAAAACUACAAAUUAAAUUUGAAAACAACAUUAACUUAAAUUUAAAAAUUUUGUGAGGAAUGGUGAAUGAAUGAUUUAGGUAUUGAUAGGGAAAAAAUAGAAUUUUUGAGAAUUAAAAAAAAAACCCCAAAAAACCUAAAAGAAAAAAGAAAAAAAAAUGAAUCUAACGGUAACUAGCGCCAGCUAGCCGUUGGAUUCAAAAUUCCUUUUAAGAAUUCAUGUCGGUUAUAACCGACAGGAAUAAUGUAUUUUUGUCGGUUAUUAAGCGGUUUUCUGGCCAGCCCCGGGCUAGCUGGCUGCUUGCAGCCAGCCCUCCAGCCCUCUCCGAUUCCGUGGGGCCCUCUCAGAUUUCACAUUUAGGUAUUGAUAGGGAAAAAAUAGAAUUUUUGAGAAUUAAAAAAAAAACCCAAAAAACCUAAAAGAAAAAAGAAAAAAAAAAUGAAUCCAACGGUAACUAGCGCCAGCUAGCCGUUGGAUUCAAAAUUCCUUUUAAGAAUUCAUGUCGGUUAUAACCGACAGGAAUAAUGUAUUUUUGUCGGUUGGAGACGAUUUUCAGACUAUUUUCAGCCCUCUGAACCAUUCGGUUGGAGAUGGCCUUAUUGCACACGUCUAGAACCGCCACUGUAUAUAUGAUUAAGUGACUCACCGACAUUUUUGCAUUUUUUUUUGUUUUUGGUUUGUGAAUAUUCGAAAGGUAAAACAUUCGAGACGAUAGAUCCAAGAACAGGGGAGGUGAUAGCCAGAGUUGCAGAAGGAGAUACGGAAGAUGUUGACUUGGCUGUCAAGGCGGCACGUGCUGCCUUCGACCAUGGCCCUUGGCCUCGCUUGCCCGGUGCUGUAUGUACUCUCCAACACUAUACUCUAGUAGCUACAUUCGAUUUUGAACACCGCUUGGUCAUUCCUUCUUGCCGGUAAAUUACAUUUUAAUGCGUGUGCAAAACAUAUCAAAUUAUUAUUUAAGCGUAAAAGAAUGACUACUUGCUCAUAAGAAGCCAAGUAUUUUCUGUUUUCUUUUCGUUUAAUACAUGUGAUUCUUGGGUUGUGAUACACAUUAUUUGUGGAGGUAGUGAUACGCAUCAAAUUGUUUCAUUAAAAGUCCAAAGUCAACUAGUCAUAAAAGAUAUGAAAGCAACAGCCUAACUUAAAAUUUUUGAGUCAGCAGUGGUGAGCAUCUAACCAAUGUAUUAAUUUUCGUUUGAUGGGAACAAAUUAAUGUUUUUAAAACAAAUCUCGAAACUUAAAUUCAUCUAAAACAAUUGAUGUCAGUAGCGAGCAAAAUAUUUUCAAAUUUUUUAAAGACCAUGCCCCUACAAUUUUAAAAUAUGUGAUCAACCUCCCACUAGUCACUAGGUGUGAUUUACCAAUGCUAGAAAUCGAAUCCAGUAAGAUAUAAUUCACCAGCGCUAUAAAUCAAAUUCAAAACGUGCGAGGGAAUAUGAACCUAGUAAUCGUUCUAAGCUAAUGAACCACCGUAGUGAUUGAAAAAGUCAUAGUUGAUAACUUUAUCCAGUCAAAAGGGUGGCAACCAUGGAAGAUAAAGUGCUAUUUUGUCAAUAAUAAAGUAAAUUUUUAGUCUAAAAGAUCUUCAUGUGAAAGAAACGACUAGAAUAAUAACGGUCGCUAUCAAAUUUUUAAUAAUAACUUUUAUAGCUAUCUUCAGUGUAUUGUUUGAUAAUAUAAUUGCCGUAGCUUAAGUAUAACUAAAUUCAUAUUAAUUAUUAUGGGGUGGUCCAGUGGUUGGAACACGCCCUUAGGUCUAUUCCUGAGGCUGUUGAAUCAGACGUUGGUGGCCAAAAAAAGACUGAAAUGUUUCUGUGAGUUUUUCUGGCUCCGAAAAAAAUGAUAUGUUUGCAGCCACCAAGUCUCCCCUUUUACAAAGUAACAAGAAAAAGUUGGUUUUCAUAAUAACUCAGCAACAAAGGAUAAAUUUUCUGCACAUAAAUUGGCUUAAUAUUUUUUGAAUGAAUGAUUAGUGUGCAAUUGACCCUGAAAUCCGUAUCGAUCAACGUGUUACGAAAGAUCUAAUUUGUUCACUGGCUUGAAUGUAAUGUUCAGGAGAGGGGAAGGAUAAUGAUGAAGCUUGCAGACUUAAUUGACCAACAUUUAGAAGAACUAGCUAUCUUGGAUACCGUUGAUGCCGGGAAGUUGUUCAGCUCUUGCAAGACCGUAGACAUACCGCAGGUAGCAGAAAUGGUACGUUAUUAUGCAGGUGCAGCUGACAAAAUCCAUGGAGAGGUGCUCAAAAUGUCGCGCGACCUUCAAGCAUAUACGUUGCUUGAACCCAUUGGAGUUGUGGGGCUCAUUGUUCCCUGGAAUUUCCCAAGCACCCUGCUUUUCGCAAAGGUUAGCCCUGCCUUAGCUGCUGGUUGCACCAUGGUCAUCAAACCUGCUGAGCAAACACCUCUAUCAGCAUUAUACUAUGCUCAUCUGGCUAAGUUGGUAAGCUCAUUCAUUCUCUGCGUUUGUUUGUGUUUAUUGCCAAUGUGGCUUGCCGUUGUUGACUCUCUCUUGUAAAUUCUUAUGAAGGCUGGUGUUCCUGAUGGAGUGUUCAAUGUCAUAACUGGAUUCGGAAAGACUGCUGGUGCUGCCAUCAGCCAUCAUAUGGACAUUGACAAAGUAAAUUCUCGUUCUUUCGUUCAAAUUUGAAUCCUUUAUGUGAAAAAUUGUUACGAAAUUCGAUGACAAUACUUGAGUGCCAUGUUGUGAUUUGUAAUGUUGAUGCUUGUUCUUGAUACCUUAGGUCAGUUUUACCGGUUCCACUGAGGUAGGGCGUGAAGUAAUGCAGGCUGCAGCAAAGAGCAAUCUGAAACAAGUUUCACUUGAACUAGGAGGCAAAUCACCCCUUGUGAUUUUUGAUGAUGCUGAUAUAAAUAUGGCUGCUGAUCUUGCUCUCUUGGGAAUCCUUUUCAACAAGGUGAAGUUCAUAAUUUCCGUUCAAUUUAAUUUUGAACUAGCACCUUGUUUAUGACUUGGAUGGAUUUAUGUAGCAGCACUGACCACGUGUUAGUCAUUCGCAUUUUCAGGGAGAAAUUUGCGUGGCAAGUUCCCGUGUUUAUGUUCAAGAAGGGAUUUAUGACGAAUUUGUGAAGAAGUUACAAGAGAAGGCGAAAGAUUGGGUAGUCGGGGAUCCUUUUGAUCCUAAUGUCCAUCAAGGACCACAGGUAACUGACUCUACCGCCAGCAACGGAGUUUUAUGAUUGAUCUAUGCCCUACAAUAUGCUCGCGAAUCCUGAGCUUAGCCCAAAUACAACCUACAAAUUUGCAUCCGUGACGUUCACUGGAAAUUGCAGGUUGAUAAGAAGCAGUUUGAUAAAAUCCUAACCUACAUUGAGCAUGGUAAGAAUGGAGGAGCCACUUUAUUAACAGGGGGCAAGCCUGUGGGGAACAAGGGAUAUUACAUUGAACCUACAGUAUUCACUGAUGUCAAGGUACAUUCACAAACUCCAACUUUAGCAAUGCAAAUGGAACAUCUAAUCCAUAGGGUCAUUUUCGUGUUCUUUUUCGUUAUAUCAUUCUCGUCUCAUUGAUCUUAUGACGAUUUUCUCAGGACGACAUGCUCAUAGCCCAAGAUGAAAUAUUUGGACCAGUAAUGGCGCUGAUGAAGUUCAAGUAAGUACAAGUAGUCUGAUUUCUUUUGUUUGAUUCGCGUUCAAGGCUUCAACACGAACAUUGUUUAAAAUUGCACGUUGAAUGUUGCAGGACAAUCGAGGAGGCGAUACAGAGAGCCAACAACACCAGAUACGGCCUAGCAGCAGGGAUCAUAACCAAUGACUUGAAUGUGGCCAACACUGUCUCUAGGUCAAUUCGUGCGGGCAUUAUUUGGAUCAACUGCUACUUUGAAUUCGAUCGAGACUGCCCUUACGGAGGGUAUAAGAUGAGUGGAUUUGGAAGAGACUCUGGUAUGCAGGGCCUGUAUGAGUAUCUCCAUACCAAAUCUGUUGUCACUCCCAUUUAUAGCUCCCCCUGGCUCUAAGUUACAAUAUAAUCUUACGGCUGCCAGAUUGUGACCUUGUAUUUGUGCAAUAAUAAUAUACCUAUAUAUAUCAGGUCCUAAAGAGAUCCCAUUUUUUCAAAAAAAUUUGUUGUGGGACCUAUUCCACAUCGAACUUCAACAAUCUAAACCGUUUAUUUUGUAAGUCUAGAUUGACAGAUCACCUAUGCAAAACUUCAAUUUAGUCCCAAACCAUUUGUCCAUUUAAUUGCCACGAUGAAAUUUCAAUUUUCUCCAAACAUAGUGUUCGUCAAUUUCUUUGAACUCAAUUAAAUGCCUCAAAUAUUUCCGAUUUGGCUAAUAUUUUGCAAGAAUGAUCUAUGAAGUGCAACUUAAAAAAUUAACAGUUCGAAUGGUUGAAGUUUGAUGCGAUGCCAGAUUGUGUCUUGUAAUUAUAUCGUUUUUAUUGAUAAAAAAUACAGAAGUUUGAGAUUCGGAUAUAGUAGUAGGUUGGUCGAUUAAGAAGGAAUGACUUAUCAUCAGGUUGGUCGUUAGUCCAAAGUUACAAACACCCAAAUCAAAUUCAACAUUCCAAAAUUCGUGAAUUUGUGAUCAGAAAGUUAUUAAUCUACACAUACUCGGUGGGCGGAGUGCUAGGAGGAGAGGGGGGGGGGGGCUUUAGGCUAGAGCCAUGUUAAAGGAAUUAGGCACAAUAUGAGUAAAGUGAGAAAAGUUCGAGGUUUUUGUUGUGUUAACAUGGAUAUUUAUUUGGUACGAUGAUAUUUUACAUUAAAAGUGAAAGAUUGAGUUAAGCUACAGUAAUUUAGCAUCGCACUCGCCAAUAAUGAGAGUUGAACUUAAAAUUACUUAUAAGUGGAGAACAAUACACGUUAUGUUAGUGAUCAUGUCAUGGAUUGUUGUGAAUAAUUAUAAACUACAGAGAAAUAACCCGUUUAGUGGGUUAGAUGAGAUUGAGCAUUAGGGAUAAAAUUGGAUUGGUAGGGACGUGUAAAAUAAUAUUUGUAACUCAUAUAUAAAGAUAUGUUAGAUAACUCACAUCGAGUUUUUAUUGCAUGAAAACAUCGAAUUAUAGUUUCAUUAUCAAUACAAGCGGAAUAGUCAAACUACGAGAGCAUUGGAGGUAGAUUGUCUGCCCUCUUGUUACCGUGCCCUUUCCAUCCUCUUCUAAUUGUGCGGUCAACAUUUCAUAUUCCUAUUGCUUUUUGUCUUAUUAUCUCUAUUAAAAAAUCAAUAUAAAAUGUUAACGUAGUUUAACCGUGACCGCACAAAUAGGAGGGGAUGGGAAGGGCACGGUAACAGGAGGGCAGACAAUCUGCCUGGCUAUUAAGUAAAACUUGUACACAUCAAUUAACGUAAUCAAAUCAGAUUUCAACAUCCAAAACUUUAACAACUAAUGGCACGCACACUGAUGCUGUCCAGUGCAGUCCCAAACCACUAUGCCUUGCUCAGCGGUUGAGUAAGCAAAAUCCGGUCCGAUAAGGAAAAAAUUUCGAGGUCUGUAUAGGUAAAUGCCCACUCCUUGUUGGAAAUUGGAAGAUCCCCGAAGCUGACCCGACCCCAUAACUAAUCAGACUCAUCUGCUAGUUUAAUUUUGCUCAUCACUGUGUUCGGAUUCAUUGAAAAAUUUCUCCUCUAUAAUAGUGGUGAUGUUCAUUAUUAUAUUUAUUAGGGUAAUUUUAUUUAAACUCAUCUAACCUAUUUCUACAUCCAAUUUAUUCUUUUCACCCAUUUAAUUUUUAACUAAACUAUUCAUAUCUCUUUAAACCCAAAUUUAAUACCUAAUAUACCCCUAUAAACCUAAUUCAGUAUGUAGAUUUAUUUUUACACCCAUUCAAUUUUUUAGUCAGAUGUAAGAUUGAAAUCGAAGAAGAAGACUAAGAAGGAGAAGGAGCUGCUGCUCCAUUUGUUAGCCAUCACUCCAUCAACGCCUCUUCUCCCCUGCUACAUCUUCCUGCCACCGUGAAUCUACCACUUGGCAGCCUCUAGAUCGUCAGACCCGCGGGGAGUCGAAUCGACCGGCACUCCGUCGUCAUCGUGCGGGGAUUUGGUUUCUUUGGACUCCUCGAUGGGUACCAUACACUUUGCGCGACCCUUUUAUACAGACCUCAUUUGUGAGCUUCUAUGCCGAGCUUGGUAAGUUGUGCGAUGCGCAUAAGGUGUUUGAGGAAAUGUCUGAACCAUGUGUGGUUGCGUGGAAUGCGAUGAUUGAUGGGGUUUGGGAAGAAUGGGGAAAUGGGUUAUGUUGUUUUGCUAUUUGAAAGCAUGCCGGAAAAGGACGUGGUUUCAUGGACAAGCGUUAUAAGCGGGUUUGGGAGAAAUGAGUGUGGUUGUGCUGUUUUGAGUCUCUUUGCUUCCGUAAAUUAUGUCUCUGGUUUCGGUCGGAAUGGGUGCUCUGGGAACGUUAUUUCUUCUGGCCUUUCUAUGCUAAUUUGGUUACACUUUGCUUCUUCUGUCUUUGGGGGCUCUGCAGCUCUUUUCAAGUUUAAGGUAAGGAAUUAUCAAUUAGUCAUGUGAAUGAUGGGCAAUGCUACAUUUUGUGUAUAAAAGCUAAAACAGGGUGAUAUAUGUAGUUAUCUAAUCGUUCUCUGAAAUUGUGUUGCAGCUGUAUUUCAGUCUUGUUGCUGUGUUCGUCCGUAUACUGUUUAUCAUGGUAAGUUCUCGUUAAUGCUUUAAGAGCAAAAUCCUCCUCUCGGUCUUGUUUUCUAUCAUAUUUAUGACUGUUGGUGCUUAGACCAUCUCCUCUUUUAUUUUAUAUUGUGAGAUGUUAUAUUUGUUAGGCUAAGUAGACCUGUUAACUAAAACGGCUAUCGUUUCUUUACCACAGUUGAAGAACUCGGCCGAGAAGAAUGAGAAUAAGAAGAAAAGAAAGGAUUGAUGCUCCUCCUGUAACCCUGGUGAUGCAAAGCAAUGCAAAAUGAGAUCAUCACUUGUCUAUUUAGAGUUUUCCAUGUGACCUCAAAAACAAAAUGUGUAGUUGAUGUAUUCCCUACUCUUUGGUGGGUGGUAGACUGAUAGUGAUUGUCUAGUGUUGCUACCGUUAAACUUCUACUUACUGUUUUGAAUGACAUCGUUUUAAUUCGUGACGAAGUUUAUUGUUGUGCUGUGUUAAUAAACUGGCUAGCUCCUCCAUCUGCACUACUUGUAGGUUGGAAUAGCAGGUUUCCAAGUAGCGAUUUUGAUACUUCCGGGUCCUUAUGGAACAAUUUUCGCCACGUCCAAUGAUUGAGCGUGGGCGUAGUAAAAAUCCAGAUUUUGCAUGGUCGCCUUUUUGUCUUAAUCUUUUCUUUUGGAGCAUUAAGUGAAGUGGUAUUUGGGUUCAUUAGCUCUUCAAUUUUCAUCUCGAGCUCUCUUUUCUUAUCUUCAUCUUGUUCUUCAUACCACAUAUUAAAUCUUUCUGCUCGUGACUUUUCCGGAGGAAUUAGUUGUUCACUACUAUUUGGCACAUUGAUAAAAUCUAAUUUUCUCCAAUGCGGAUGAAGAGAAUCAAGUGGGAUCGGCUUGCCAAGCCUUCUAUACUCUGCAAUCUCAUGUGCACACGGCAACUUAUGAGUUUGGCGAAUGGUGCAACCACAAGAUACAACAGUCACUCUUUCUUUUUCCAACCUGUUAUUAAAAGAAAUACAAUAUAAUUUAAGUUACCUUCAAAUACAAUAUGGUUUAAAAGGCUAAACAAUAAUAAUGUAAAUGCAAGACAAACCCAAACUACCUUUUGGACUCGCAGACAAUUAAGUUCAAGGCAUGGGUAGAAACAAAACCUACUAGUCGUUGCAACUUAGGUUUCUUGAAUUUGUGUUGAACAAAGUAUCAACUUUUUUUUCAAAAGAUGCUUUAACCUCUGUAUGAUGCAACUCCAACAAGGAGUGUAUAUGUACCCACGACGUCUCAAAGUUAAGUUGACUGGAGCGAAGUUGUCGCUUCAACUUUGCAUGUGCACUUUCUGCCCUGAUUAUAACAAUACAUGAGUAAGCAUAAACUAUAGAAUUGAAAAUACAAAAGCUAUAAAGUCUACGAUGCUCAACUGUUUAAAUAUUAUAUUCUAAUUUUUAUAUUUGUAAAAUUCACCCUCACUGUAACAUAGCCCAAAAUUGACCUCAAGUCUUGCCUAGUUUAGCCAUUUAUCCAUCAGUUGAAGUCACCGCGACAAUAAAUAUGAUAUAAUGACGUAAAAUUUAAAACUAAAAACCAAACAACAAUAAUAAAGUGAUGGGAAAACGGGACCCAGCAUCGUAAAAUGCAUCAUACAGAGUUAUGAAAAAGUAAGGAGAAAUAUACCUGUUUGAGGUUGUAGUACCAAGAUGCAUACAAUUAUCUAUCCAUGUGCCUAUGAACUUAUUUUUAUAUGGAAUUAACCAAUUGUUUCGUAUGUACUCAAGACCAUCAUCAUAAUUACUGAACUUAGAUUCCAUUUCUUGCAAAGAACGCUGAUACUCCUCUUAUGUUUCCAAACUCACAAGGCAAUUCCAAUCUCUAUUAAAUUUAUUCCACUGCUUGUUUGACUCAAACAUUUUCUUGCACUUUGACAACACAUUUUUGUUAAUAUGCCAUCUACACAAUAAAUGUUGCGAACCAGGAAAUACAGACUUGAUAGAAUUUAGGAGUGCUAAAUCUCGAUCGGUGGCAAUAACCCCAGGAAGACAAUAGCCAUGAAGCAAUGUCUUUAAUCUAGUCAGGGCCCAAAUGUAAUUGUCUUCUUUCCCAGCCUCUAUAUACACAAAAGCAACUGAGAAUGUCAUAUUAGUGGAUGUCACACCCACAAUUUGUAAGAGUGGAAAACGAUACCUGUUAGUCUUAUAUGUGCAAUCCAUGAUAAGUACAUGUGGGAAUGCUCGUAAUAUCUCAAUACUAAUAGGGUGAGCCCAUAAAAGGUCAAUCACAGUAUCACCACAACUUAUGUGCCACUCAACAUACUUGUGUUCUGACAACUUAUGAAGCAAUUGUUGCAUUUGUGUCCUCCCAGCAAAUUCUUUCAUCCUACCUCGAUGUCUAGCAUUAUAUAUUGUCCUUAUAGUUGAUACAUUUUGUGCAUCUCUGUCUUUGAUAGAGACCAAGAUAUCUUUGGGCCUCACCAAACUCUUAGACAUGUCCAUCAACAAUUCAUUCUCCUCUUUAGAAAGUCGCCCCACAAAAGAAUGUCCUUCAAGAUAUUCUAAAGUAGGAUGAUUAUGCUCUCCACAUACUACCUUCAAUGUCCAAUCGUCCUCAUCGCCAAUAUUCACACCUUUCAACAAGAAUGAACCUCCACAUUUUUUCGUACCAGAACUCCUAGAUUGUUUUUUUUGUGACCAAUCUCAUCUGACCUUUGACCAUAUGCUACAACACACUUGUAUGACGAAUAUGUACCGUUUCUUUCACAAGCAAGUGUUAGUCGACGGCGACUCACAGUCUUACCUUCACCUCCUAAAUUAGACCUUUUAAUAACAAUUACCAUAUUAUCCAGCUUUCCAUGUUGACGAACCCAUGUAAUCAAUGCAUCUUUUCCUUUGAAUAUCUGCACGUAACACAUAUUUUAUUUCGAAGUAAAAUUCUAAAAUUAACUAACACGUCAACGACACUAUAAAUAUAUAAUUACCUCAUAAGUUGUAAAUUGAUCAGUAUAAUCCACCACACAUUCUUGUCCAACCUCAUUGCCUCGAUCAGAGGCAUCAUUGAAUUCUUGUUGCUAAAAAAUAAACGACAAAAUUAUGAUUACAAUAAAAAAUCUUCAAGUUAUGAUUAAAACAAAUGGACAAAUAUAGCUAACUGUAGCAAUGUUUUCAUAUUACUGACUAAAAACACAUCAAGCCCCAUUUUAUAGUAAACAACAGACAACUUAAACUACCUUUCGAUUUCCUCUUACACAACAAAUGGAGUUUGGAAUAUGUAGGACCAACAAUAACUUUCAUAUUGGGAGGGAGAGGGAGACCCCCGAAAAAUACAAUCAGAGAUUAUCCUUGCUUUCUGACUUAUAGUAAUCAGGUUUAUAGGGACAAGGCUCACCUAGAUCCCGACAUGUAUCCCUCAAAGUUAGUAAAACUAAAGAUGGCAAUGGAUAUUUUGUAAUCCAAUAAUUGCUUAGUGCAGAGAUUUUCCAGUGCAGGAAACAAUGUUGGAAACUUUGAGUCGAUAAAUCAUUUGCUUCUAAAAUGUUUUAGUCCUUGGGAAAUCGAAAAAUAAACCCCCAAAAGAAUCAGCAAGACUGCAGAAUCAAGGUUCAAGAUUUUUCUUGAAAAACAUCCCUUCACAUCAGUGGCAAUUCAAUGGGAAAGUCCAGACUUCCUCAACUCGAAAAAUCUUCCAUAAAGCAAAAAAUUAUAAGCUCAUGAAGGACUCACCACCCAACCCAACAUGCCUGAAAGAUAUACACAUGCGGAACCAGAAACCUUAAAGACAUCAUUCAAUUCGACAAGUUCUAAACUUUAAAAAAUUGAAAUCAAACGAACAAAAAAUUCAUAAAUUGAGUCAUACCUUGGUUGGAGGGUUCAAAACUUCAAAAUCACCAUCCAUCAAUAGAAAAAUUUAUUUUUCUCUAUGAGAGCUAUUAGGGUUUUAGCAGAAUGAACGUAUGAUAAACAAAGAAUGAUCGUAGAGUUUAAUUAUAGUGUUUGGGUUUAUUGAUAAAUUUGAGUUUUAUUAUUAAUUUCAUUUUGUACUUAAUAGUAAUUAUGCAAUAGGGUAAAAUAGACAAUUAACAUUCAAAAUUUUAAGUUGGGUGUAAAAAAAGGUUGCAUGGGUUUAAAUAAAAUUUUCCUAUUUAUUAUCAUUCGAUUAUUUAAGUUUUGAGAUUUGUGUAAUAAAUAGACUAAAUCAAACUAUUCCACAUUAAUCGAUAGAGUUAUAAGUAGGGGUGUGAUAUUCACACAUCAUUUUAAUUUUCGACCGUCGGAUCAAAUGAAUUGAAGAAGAUCAAGGGAUAUAAAUCAACAAAAUGUGUGUGAGAAGUAAAAAGAGGUAUGUGGAUACUGGAUAGCACACCCUAUAAAUAUCAUCCUCACCUAUGGAGACUGGACAAAAAUAAUUUCUCAUCCUCCCAACACUAGCUGUACGCACAAAUAUUUUUUUCGUACUCUUUUUAAUUUGCAACUGACACGUCGAAUGAAUUUAAAAAAUCAAUACCAAAAAAUUAACAAAAAUGUAUGAAAAGUUAAAAAAAAAAAAAUUUAACGAAAAGCCCGCGGUAGUGUUCAUUUUAACGAAAAACCAUAUUUUUAUACUAAAAAGUCAAUCAUGUACUAUUUACUUUACCAUUUAUUUUGUCCUUAUCGUUAAAAUUCAAAGUUUUCAAACCAUUUUCAUUAUUUUACUUUAAAAAAAAAAAAGUGUGUGACUAAAACUGUACAAAUAUUCCCUCUCAGAUUCCAUACGGUAAGCAAACAAACACAACACAACAAAAUCUCUUUUUUUCCACACAAACAAACAGAGCAAAACGCAGAGAAGAGCAGAGGAAACGGCAACCAUGGGGAGUGAUUUCAACGGCAGCUCAGCUUCCUUCGUCAAGAUUCCGGCAAUAAAGUUUACUCAGCUGUUCAUUAAUGGAGGUUUCGUCGAUUCCGUUUCUGGUUUGUCGCCUUUGAUUCCCUUCUUCUCGAAAUCUACGAGCUUUCAUUUAGUAAAAAGCGUUUCUUUACUGCCCGUUUUCACCAUGACUACGUACUGUUUGUGUUUUUGCCUCAACCAAAUUUGCAAACUCUCAAAAUUCAAGAACCCAUUAUUUUUUAAGCUUGUAAAUGCCAUAUAUAUAAGGAUAUAUACAUAUACAUAUGAUUAAGUGACUCACUGACAUUUUUGCAAUUUUUUGUUUUUGGUUUGUGAACCCCGAUCAAAUUUGGAAGGUAAAACAUUUGAGACAAUAGAUCCAAGAACAGGGGAGGCGAUAACAAGAGUUGCAGAAGGAGAUAAGGAAGAUGUUGACUUGGCUGUCAAGGCGGCGCGUGCUGCCUUCGACCAUGGCACUUGGCCUCGCUUGCCUGGCGCCGUAUGUAACUCUCCAACGCUCUAGUCUUGUAGCUACAUUCAUUUUUGAACAUCGCUCGGUCAUUCUUACUUACCUGUAAAUCACAUCUUGAUACGUAUGCAAGACAUUCAUUUUUGAACAUCGCUCGGUCAUUCUGCACAUAACUUGGCUUAAUAUUUUUUGAAUAAAUGAUUAGUGUGCAAUUGACCCUGAAAUCCGUAUCGAUCAACGUGUUACGAAAGAUCUAAUUUGUUCACUGGCUUGAAUGUAAUGUUCAGGAGAGGGGAAGGAUAAUGAUGAAGCUUGCAGACUUAAUUGACCAACAUUUAGAAGAACUAGCUAUCUUGGAUACCGUUGAUGCCGGGAAGUUGUUCAGCUCUUGCAAGACCAUGGACAUACCGUUUGUAGUAGAAACGCUACGUUAUUAUGCAGGUGCAGCUGACAAAAUCCAUGGAGAGGUGCUCAAGAUGUCGCGCAACCUUCAAGCGUAUACAUUGCUUGAACCCAUUGGUGUUGUGGGGCUCAUUGUCCCCUGGAAUUUCCCGAGCGCCCUGCUUUUCACAAAGGUCAGCCCUGCCUUAGCUGCUGGUUGCACCAUGGUCACCAAACCUGCUGAGCAAACACCUCUAUCUGCAUUAUACUGUGCUCAUCUGGCUAAGUUGGUAAGCUCAUUCAUUCUAUGCGUUUGUUUGUGUUUAUUGCCAAAGUGGCUCGCCGUUGUUGACUCUCUCUUGUAAAUUCUUAUGAAGGCUGGUGUUCCUGACGGAGUGUUCAAUGUCAUAACUGGAUUUGGAAAGACUGCUGGUGCUGCCGUCAGCCAUCAUAUGGACAUUGACAAAGUAAAUUCUCGUUCUUUCGUUCAAAUUUGAAUCCUUUAUGUGAAAAAUUGUUACGCAAUUCGAUGACAAUACUUGAAUGCCUUGUUGUGAUUGUAAUGUUGACGCUUGUUCUUGAUAUAUUAGGUCAGUUUUACUGGUUCCACUGAGGUUGGGCGUGAAGUAAUGCAGGCUGCAGCAAAGAGCAAUCUGAAACAAGUUUCACUUGAACUAGGAGGCAAAUCACCCCUUGUGAUUUUUGAUGAUGCUGAUAUAAAUAUGGCUGCUGAUCUUGCUCUCUUGGGAAUCCUUUUCAACAAGGUGAAGUUCAUAAUUUCCGUUCAAUUUAAUUUUAAACUAGCGAUGACUUGGAUCGGUUUAUGUAGCAGCUUCUUGUUUAUGACUUGGAUAGAUUUAUGUAGCAGCACUGACCACAUGUUAGUCAUUCGCAAUUUCAGGGAGAAAUUUGUGUGGCAAGUUCCCGUGUUUAUGUUCAAGAAGGGAUUUAUGAUGAAUUUGUGAAGAAGUUACAAGAGAAGGUGAAAGAUUGGGUAGUCGGGGAUCCUUUUGAUCCUAGUGUCCAUCAAGGACCACAGGUAACUGACUCUACCGCCAGCAACGGAGUUUUAUGAUUGAUCUAUGCCCUACAAUAUGCUUGCAAAUCCUGACCUUAGCCCAAAUACAACCUACAAAUUUGCAUCCGUGAGACGUUCACUGGAAAUUGCAGGUUGAUAAGAAGCAGUUUGAUAAAAUCCUAACCUACAUUGAGCAUGGUAAGAAUGGAGGAGCCACUUUAUUAACAGGGGGCAAGCCUGUGGGGAACAAGGGAUAUUACAUUGAACCUACAAUAUUCACUGAUGUCAAGGUACAUUCACAAACUCCAACUUUAGCAAUGCAAAUGGAACAUCUAAUCCAUAGGGUUAUUUUCGUGUUCUUUUUCGUUAUAUCAUUCUCGUCUCAUUGAUCUUAUGACGAUUUUCUCAGGAUGACAUGCUUAUAGCCCAAGAUGAAAUAUUUGGACCAGUAAUGGCUUUGAUGAAGUUCAAGUAAGUACCAAGUAAUCUGAUUUCUUUUGUUUGAUUCGUGUUCAAGGCUUCAACACAAACAUUAUUUAAAAUUGCACGUUGAAAUGUUGCAGGACAAUCGAGGAGGCGAUACAGAGAGCCAACAACACCAGAUACGGCCUAGCAGCAGGGAUCAUAACCAAUGACUUGAAUGUGGCCAACACUGUCUCAAGGUCAAUUCGUGCAGGCAUUAUUUGGAUCAACUGCUACUUUGAAUGCGAUCGAGACUGCCCUGGUGGAGGGUAUAAGAUGAGUGGAUUUGGAAGAGAAUCUGGUAUGCAGGGCCUCUAUGAGUAUCUCCAUACCAAAUCUGUUGUCACUCCCAUUUAUAACUCCCCCUGGCUCUAAGUUACAAUAUAAUCUCACGGCUGCCAGAUUGUGACCUUGUAUUUGUGCGAUAAUAAUAGUUUCGUUGGAGGGCGGGCUGGCUGGUUGGAAAUUGCCUGAUUUGGGCCCAGUGGGACCCACAAGCCCUUAGACUUAGUUCUUGGUUGGAGACGAUUUUCGUGUUAUUCUGAGCUAUUUUUAGCUCUAUAGUCUUUUAGUCAGGUCGAUUGGAGAUUACCUAACUGCCCAAGACAAGGACUUGUUUGGAAUGAGAGCCUACAUCGAAUUUUUAUCGCAUAAAAACAUUGAAUUAUAGUUUCGUUGUCAAUACGAGCGGAAUAGUCAAACUACGAGAGCAUUGGUAAAUGCCCACGCCUUGUUGGAAAUUGGAAGAUCCCCGAAGCUGACCCCACCCCAUAACUAAUCAGACUCAUCUGCUAGGGUAAUUUUGCUCACCACUUUAGUGUUCCGGAUCCAUUGAAAAAUUUCUCUUCUAAGAUGAAGAUAAUGCUCAUUACUAUAUUUAUUAUCAUUCGAUUAUUUAAAUUUUGAGAUUUGUAUAAUAAAUAGAUUAAAUCUAGAGAGUUUUAACGAAAAGUCCACAGUACUGUUUACUUUAACGAAAAAUCAUAUUUUUACACUAAAAAGUCAAACCUGUUACUAUUCAUUUUAACUUUUAUUUUAUUUUUAUCGUUAAAACUCAAAGUUUUCAAGCCAUUAUCAUUAGUUUUCCUUUAAAUCAAAUUCAUCCACAGUAAUCGAUAGAAUUAUAAGUAUCAUCAUCACUUAAGGAGAUUGAACAAAAAUAAUUUAUCAUCCUCAAUAAUAGCUGUCCACACAAUCAUUUUUACUUCUCACGUGCUCCUUUCAAAUUCCGACUGUUAGAUCGAAUGAAUUAAAAAAAAUCAAUAACAAAAAAAUGUAUAUAAAAAAAGGAUGUGAAUAAGACCGUACAAAUAUUCCCUCUCAGAUAGAGACCAUACACGAAGCAAGCACAACAUAACACAACAAAAUACCGUUCUUUGUUUUUUUUUUCCACACAAACAAACAGAGGAAACGGCAGCCAUGGGGAGUGAUUUCAACGGCAGCUCAACUUCCUUCGUCAAGAUUCCAGCAAUAAAGUUUACUCAGCUGUUCAUCAAUGGAGGUUUCGUCGAUUCCGUUUCAGGUUAGUCGCCAUUGUUUCCCUUCUUCUAGCAAUCUACGAGCUUCCAUUUGGUAAAAAGCGUUCUUUACUGCCCGUUUUCACCGUGACUACGUACUGUUUGUGUUUUUGCCUCAACCAAAUUUGCAAACUCUCAAAAUUCAAGAACCCAUUAUUUUUUAAGCUUGUAAAUGCCAUAUAUAUGAAGAUAUAUACAUAUAUACAUAUGAUUAAGUGACUCACUGAUAUUUUUGCAAUUUUUUUGUUUUUGGUUUGUGAACACCGAUCAAAUUUGGAAGGCAAAACAUUUGAGACAAUAGAUCCAAGAACAGGGGAGGUGAUAACAAGAGUUGCAGAAGGAGAUAAGGAAGAUGUUGACUUGGCUGUCAAGGCGGCGCGUGCUGCCUUCGACCAUGGCACUUGGCCUCGCUUGCCUGGCGCCGUAUGUAACUCUCCAACACUCUACUCUUGUAAUUCAUUUUUGAACAUCACUCGGUCAUUCUUACUUACCUGUAAAUCACAUCUUGAUACGUAUGCAAGACAUUUUGAUACGCGGACUAAUAAUGGUCUUUAAUAAUUUUCUAAUAAUAAUUUUCAUAGCUAUCUUUGGUGUACUAUUUGAUAAGAUUAUUCCGUUGACUUAAGUGUAAGUAAAUUUUUUAAGGUCAAACUCAAGUACUUCACUCACGAAAACUUAAAUUAUGUAUGACAACAAAAAGUUAAUCGUAAAAUACAAUCCAAAAUCCAGAUAUGAAAAGGAUGGAAAAUUUUGAAAGGGUCAGUUCCCAACGGAGCCAGUAUUAUAGCUUGUUGACAUUUUAGUACUAAUUCAACUUAGUGUGGAAUUAACCCUGAAAUCCGUAUCAAUCAAUGUGUUACAAAAGGUCUAAUUUGUUUACUGCCUUGAAUGUAAUUAUGCUCAGGGGAGGGGAAGGAUAAUGAUGAAGUUUGCAGACUUAAUUGACCAACAUGUAGAAGAACUAGCUACCUUGGAUACCAUUGACGCUGGGAAGUUGUUCAGUUUUGGCAAGACCAGAGACAUACCGCAGGUAGCAGAAAUGGUACGUUAUUAUGCAGGUGCGGCUGACAAAAUCCAUGGAGAGGUGCUCAAAAUGUCACGCGACCUUCAAGCAUAUACGUUGCUUGAACCCAUUGGUGUUGUGGGGCUCAUUGUUCCCUGGAAUUUCCCGAGCACCCUGCUUUUCGCAAAGGUCAGCCCUGCGUUAUCUGCUGGUUGCACCAUGGUCAUCAAACCUGCUGAGCAAACACCUCUAUCAGCAUUAUACUAUGCUCAUCUGGCUAAGUUGGUAAGCUCAUUCAUUCUCUGCGUUUGUUUGUGUUUAUUGCCAAUAUGAUUGGCGUUGUUGACUUUCUCUUGUAAAUUCUUAUGAAGGCUGGUGUUCCUGACGGAGUGUUCAAUGUCAUAACUGGAUUCGGAAAGACUGCUGGUGCUGCCAUCAGCCAUCAUAUGGACAUUGACAAAGUAAAUUCUUGUUCUUUCGUUCAUAUGUUGUAUACUUUAUGUGAACAAUUGUUACGAAAUUCGAUGACAAUACUUCAAUGUCUUGCUGUGAUUUGUAAUGUUGACGCUUGUUCUUGAUAUAUUAGGUCAGUUUUACUGGUUCCACCGAGGUAGGCCGUGAAGUAAUGCAGGCUGCAGCAAAGAGCAAUCUGAAACAAGUUUCGCUUGAACUAGGAGGCAAAUCACCCCUUGUGAUUUUUGAUGAUGCUGAUAUAAAUAUGGCUGCUGAUCUUGCUCUCUUGGGAAUCCUUUUCAACAAGGUGAAGUUCGUAAUUUCCAUUCAAUUUAGUUUUAAACUAGCACCUUGUUUAUGACUUGGAUAGAUUUAUGUAGCAGCACUGAGCAUGUGUUAAUCAUUGCAUUUUCAGGGAGAAAUUUGUGUGGCAAGUUCCCGUGUUUAUGUUCAAGAAGGGAUUUAUGAUGAAUUUGUGAAGAAGUUACAAGAGAAGGCAAAAGAUUGGGUAGUCGGGGAUCCUUUUGACCCUAAUGUUCGUCAAGGACCACAGGUAACUGACUCUACAGACAAAGUUUUAUGAUUCAUCUAUGCCCGACAAUAUGCUCGCGAAUUGCUGUGCUUGUCCAAAUACAACCUACAAAUUCGUAUCUGUGAAGUUCACUGAAAAUUGCAGGUUGAUAAGAAGCAGUUUGAUAAAAUCCUAACCUACAUUGAGCAUGGGAAGAAUGAAGGAGCCACUUUAUUAACUGGAGGCAAGCCCUUGGGGAACAAGGGAUAUUACAUUGAGCCUACAAUUUUCACUGAUGUCAAGGUACUUUCACAAAUUCGAACUCUAUCAAUGCAAAUGGAACAUCAAAUCCAUAUGACUAUUUUCACGUUCUUUUUCGUUAUAUCAUUCUCAUCUCAUUAAUCUUAUGACGAUUUUCUCAGGAUGAUAUGCUCAUAACCCAAGAUGAAAUAUUUGGACCCGUAAUGGCGCUGAUGAAGUUCAAGUAAGUAGGACAAGUCUGAUUUCUUUUGUUUGAUCCGCCUUCAAGGCAUCAAAACGAACAUUGCUUAAAAUCAUGGCGUGUGAAAAUGUUGUAGGACAAUCGAGGAGACAAUACAGAGAGCCAACAACACCAGAUACGGCCUAGCAGCAGGGAUCAUAACCAAGGACUUGAAUGUGGCCAACACCGUCUCAAGGUCAAUUCGUGCAGGCAUUAUUUGGAUCAACUGCUACUUUGCAUUCGAUCGAGACUGCCCUUACGGAGGGUAUAAGAUGAGUGGAUUUGGAAGAGACUUUGGUAUGCAGGCCCUCUAUAAAUAUCUCCAUACCAAAUCUGUUGUCACUCCCAUUUAUAACUCCCCCUGGCUCUAAGUUAUGAUCGAAUCUUACGGCUGCCAGAUUGUGACCUUGUAUUUGUGCAAUAAUAAAACACCUAUUUUUGGGUGAGAAGUUUCCAAUUGUAUCAGGUAAUCAUAUGAAAAAUAUACAGAAGUUUGAGCUUGACAUAUAGCUCUUCACCCUAACACCCCCCUCCCCCCAACAUGUCCAACUUCCUUACCAUCAAACUCGAUCACACAAUGUGCCACUAUGGCAGGUGCAGACUCUAGCAGUAUCAGUGAGAUUGCCUUCGUCAUCCUUUAGCUAUUAAUUCAGGACAUGACCAUAGCAUCAUGUUGAAUCCAAGCCCCAAAGCCAGCUAACAGUAUCAGAUAGAUUGCCUUCGUCAUCCUUAAGCUAUGAAAUAUGGAUAUGGAUACGGGAACGGCGAUAUGACACGAUACGACAUAGCGAUACGGCAAAUCUCUAGAAAUUAAGAUACGAUACGCUAUAGAUACGACAAAUAAAAAUGUAUAUAGCAACAAAAAUAUACAUUUAAAACAUAAUUUAUCAUUCAAAUUCAAGUACAUUUGAGUCGUUAGAGAAGAAAUUUCGAAAUCUAAUCCUCUUUAAACUAUAGAAGAAGUGUGAGUCAUAUUCAUGGUUUUAAUUAGAGGGAAGCUCUUUGUAUUCAGCAACUUUUAAUUAUGUCUCCUAUUAAUUUUCUCCUCCUCGUUACCAUUUUUGAAAGUGUAAAUGUAUCAUAAAGCUAGAUAUGUGUAUCCUAAAUGUAGGAUACGCGUAUCUAUCAUGUCAAAUUCAUGUCCACCAACCAGGAUAUGUGACGGACGAGUAUCUGAAAAUAUCGAAUAAGUAUUCGAUCAAGUAUCGGAUACGGGACACGGGACCAUGCAUCACAGUCCUUAAGUAAGGCUUGGGGACGCUUGCUGAUUCCAUCGAAAAAGAGGACGAGAUUCCUGCUACGAAGCAAAAGGGAAGCAUCUGUGCCUGCUUUAGUGGGUAAUUGGUGCGGUCGAGUGAGACUUCUAGCUCAUAGAAGAAUGCAAACUCUUCCUCAGAAUUCAUACAAAAAUCCCACACAACCCGAAUAAUCCACCCCAAAUUGCUAAUUGGUAGCAUAAAUUAAUGAGUUCAUAAGAUCAAUUUUAUGAAAUUGGGGAAAUUCGGGGCCAGAAAUUGUUGAUCAGAUCAAACGGUAACAACAAAAACCAUAAUAUUAAAGGAAAACUAAUAAAAAUGAUUUCAAAAUUUUGAGAUUUAACGAUAAGAACAAAAUAAAGGGUAAAGUAAAUAAUACCAUGAUUGAUUUUUUAAUGUAAAAAUAUAAUUUGUCGUUAAAGUGAAUAGUAUUGAGAAUUUUGUUCCGUAAUAUUAUGCCAUCGAAAACAUCAAAUUCCAUUAAUUUCAUGAAACCCAUUGGCGGGUUUAGCCUACUACAUAUCUUUUGCAUCUUUGUACAUCCCUAACAGUUUUGAUCACCGCACCCAGAUCUUAAAUCUCGGCACCACCCCAAACAAACCCAUAUACACACGCACCCAUGCAACAGACAACAUUAUUUUCCUGACACAAACCAACACUACAACGCCGUUGUUUUAACAUUCAACGAACAGGACUUCUUCUAUUUUCCAACUUUGCCCCUGAGCUUGACUCCCAGAACCCUCUCCAUCUUCGCCAGCACCGCCUGGUUUGGCACCGCCUUCCCGUUCUCGUACUCCUGCACCACCUGUUGCCGCUCGUUCAUCCGCUUCGCAAGCUCCGCCUGGCUCAUCUUCUUCUCCAGCCGCGCCUUCUGUAUCGCCUGUCGCACCUCCGUCGAGACCCGCUCCAGCGCCGCCGGCUCGGCCGCCUCAUCGAGCUUCUUAACGCUGACCACCGGCGCCGCCUUCUUGUUCGAGCCCCCGUCGAAUUUCUUGAUGGUCUGGACCGGCUCGCCCGACCGCAUCGCCUGGUUCACCACCUUCGGGUCGCGGAGGGCACGGGCAAUAUUGGGCUUCUUCUGGAGGAGCACCACCUCCCAGUCCUGGCCUAUGACUCUUAGUUUUCGGCUCGGCAUCGUCGGAAAUCUAGAGAGAGAGAGAUUUUUUAAGGUUUACCGGAUUUUUGUAUCGUGGUUUUUAAUGGAGAAGAUGAUCGGGGACGGUGAAGUUUGGUGCCCAAUAUAUAGUGGGGCGAGAAUCUGGAAAGUGAAGUUUGGUGCGCAAUUUACAGUGGGGGCGAGAAUCUGGAAAGUUAGGUUCUUUUUUGGAUAGUUUUAUCUACGGAAAAUGAAAAUUCGCGGGGGCGGUUAAAGUGUAACCGGUUUUUCUUAUCCGGUUGUCCUUCCCCGCGUAACGUUCCGUUGCUUGAAAACGUGGCUGUGUGCUAUUGGUGCUUGGGUGGAAGGUUUCUUACUUCGUCGUAUGAGAGAGGAGUCCAUUACUUAACAAGUAUGUGUCGUUUUUCUUUUCUUUUUUUUUUUUUAAAAAAAAAAAAGGGACCAACUAGUAGCUUCGCUACUGCAGUUACAUGCCCGAUCCAGAUAUCCUCCAAACAUUAGGGUAGGCAUGUGCUGGCCGACAUUCGAGGACGACGAAGUCAUAUUAACAUGCAUGUAAGUUAUGAAGAAAGAACGAACGUAAAUAAAACAUGUAAAAUUAACUACAAUGAAUAUGCAAAUGUAGGAACGUAUUUAGAACAUACUACUAAUCAAGAAUAGUGUAGAAUGAAUAUUAUGAAAAGGUACAAACAAAUGAAUGGAUCCUACACCGAGAGGACUCGAAGAUACUAAUGCGAGAGUGUCUUGACGCUGGGAUUGUACGUCUCGAUUCUAAGUGAAGGGGGCGCAAAACAAAGCAUGAGUGGACCAAGUUUAUAUAUAAGUAAUACUAAAAUCAACUACUCUUCAAACUUACUAACCCCUAGUUUUAGAAACUCAUAUAGCAUAAUAAAUGAUAGGUUUUCCGAAAAUCCUAGCAUGUCAUAAAAAACUUCAUAAAACAUAUAUCGUAUCUAGUGUGCUUAGUAGUGGUAUCACAAUCGCCCAAAUGCCCUACAUCGCACGCUCGAAGGCAUCUAUAUCUUCUGCCUAAAGGCAUAUAUAAAUGUUCCGCCCGAAGGCAUAUAUAAAUGAAUAUCCACUAAGUCAGCAUAAAAAAUCAUGAACAUAAUAUUUCCAAAAUAUAUUUCAUUAGAGCUCAAUAGCUCAAACAUCAUAUCAUAAAAUAAUAUUCAUAAAUAUCUCAGUAACGUAAAUUCGAUAAAGCAUGAUAUUUUAUAAAACAUAAAUUCGAUAACUUAUAAACGUUUCAUAAUACAUAGUCAUAAAAUCAUAGUUUUCAUGUAUGCAUUUUUAGUAAUUAAAUCAUGCAUUUUGGAAGGGGUCCACUCACUGAUACUCCGUCACUGAAGAGCCAUUUGAACAAGGGAGAACGAAAUCGCCACUAAUAAAAGCGCCUAAGCACAUAAAGGGACCAAUUAGUAAAAACCUGCUAAAAUGAUUGAAUUUGGGAAAACGGAGCGCGGAAGGGCGUCGAAAUACCCUAAGAAGAGUCCCAGGUAAAUUUCGUAAAAGUCAACGAAAAGUCAACAAGAAUAUUUCAGAGAGUAUUCCAAAGAAUAUUCCAUUGGGUUCGGAUUGGGUCAGAUCUGGGUUCAAGGUAGUUAGGUCAGGUCGACCCGGUUUAAAGGCUAUGGAUAAGCCGAAAACUAGGCAGGGGUUCUUGAGCUCCAUUCGAGCUCAUUUUUUCACCAUUUUCGACCAAAGAGCUAUGAAAAUGAAGCUUGGAAUGAGGAGAAGAGGUUCGUACCAAUUUAGAGCUGGGUUGUAGCUGGAGUUGGCUAGAAAAUGGCCUGCAACUCACUGCAUCCUUCGCCGAAAACUGGGCUCGUUACCCCGAGCUAUUUCUGCGUCUAACAUGCGAAAACAACGGCCCCAAACUUUAUUAACGGAGGCAAGCCUUUGGGGUACAAGGGAUAUUACAUUGAGCCUACAAUAUUCAUUGAUGUCAAGGUACGUUCACAAAUUCAACUCUAUCAAUACAAAUGGAACAUCAAAUCCAUACCACUUGUUGAUGCACAAAAUCCGGAGGAUCUUAGACCAACGUAAAUUCGGCCGAGUUAUGAGGGUGAGGGGGAGUCCUUUUUUUAUAAAAUAAGGGCUCCCUCCCCUUUUACAUUUGUCAUGGGCUUAGGAGUGAGGCCCAAAGACAAGGCCCAAUAUAUAUUACCAACAAGAGUCCAUCAAGUCUUCAGUCAAGAGAGUCUUUUGGCUGGAGACUUCAAAUCCAAUCCAUGUACGGGCCGAAGUGGUUAAAUGUCUUGAACCAGUACUCAACCCAAGGAAAUGCUCAACAUAAAGUAAUACUCGGCUAGAGGUAUCACACAUUACGAGACUGCUCGGCUGGAGGCGAUGCUCGUUGCGAGGCUGCUCGGCUAAAAGCUAUGCUCGCGGCAAGAUGGUUGCUCGGCUAGAGGCGAUGCUCUUUGCGAGGCUGCUCGGCUAGAGACUAUGCUCGCUGCGAGGCGGCUCGGCUCGUGGUAUUCCUCAUUGCAAGUAUCUACUUUAUGUCGACAUGCACUCAGUAUGAGUUUAUUCUUAACAUGACUCAGGUCCGCUUGUCAGGUUCGCAUAUUGGAUUCUUUUAAUCAUCAAUAAUGUUGAUCAAUGGAUCUAGUUGCUUAAUAAUUCUUGACAAUAAAUGACAGUAUAAGUGUGACUGUAUAAAUCAAAUUGACAAAGUUUGUCAAGGCAAAGUAUUGUACUGUAUGCCUUAUGUGAAUAAAUGAUUUAUUCUGUUGUGUGAUAAAUGACAUGUUACAUAAAUCAACAAUAUAUUAGGUAUUGCCUAAAUGUGUGUGUGUGUAUAUAUAUAUAUAUAUAAUCAUGAAUAAAUGAUUUAUUCAGUUGUUUGAUAAAUGACAUGUUGUAUAAAUCAAUAAUGUUGAUGCACAAAAUCAAUGAGGACUUUGGUACAACAAAAAGUGUUAAGUUUGUGACCUUAGCUAGAUUGCUCCGGUCAUUAGUGUGGAUAAAUAUGUAAAUGGAUAGAGACAGGGAAGCAAACACAAGAUGUACGUGGUUCACCUAGAUUGGCUACGUCCACGGAGUAGAGAAGUUCUCAUUAAUUGUGAAGGGUUUACACAAGUACAUAGGUUCAAGCUCUCAUUUUGUGAGUACUAGUGAAUGAUUUAGUACAAAUGACAUUCGGAAAUAUUGUGGGAGAAUGAUCUCCUUUUAUAGAAGAGAGUUUCUAGCUUUGUUUUGACAUUGACACAUGUCGUGUUGUGAUUGGCUUCUGAUGUUGACACAUGUCGCGCUAUGAUUGGCUUCUGAUGUCAACACGUGUCGCGCUGUGAUUGGCCUCCUGGUUGAAGGGAAACUCUUAUGGGUCCUUGACGGUAUAACGUUGAUUGGUGCUCAGUAGUUUCGGGAUUGGUCAAGUAUGGUACAAACAAAUAAUAUAUUAGGUAAUGCCUAAAUAUGUAGGUUAUUAGAAAAAAAAAAAAUAUAUAUAUAUAUAUAUAUUAGCCACAAUGGGGAUAUAAAAUGGCAGGCAGUUUCAUUAGAUGCCAUAAUCAUCACUUAUUGUAUUCGUCUGUUACUAUGCAUGUCAUGUGACACCACAUACCAUCACUCUCUGCAUGUACUUAUAUAUAUAUAUAUUAGCACGACAGACAAGGUGUGGCAGAAAUAUUUAAAGUGGAAGCUAAUAAUAAAAGUGUUCUUAUCUGUGAGUUUUUUUUUUUUUUCCUUUGUGAGAGUGGUUGACACUAAAAGCAAAAGCAAAUGCAUCUUAUCUUUCUUUUGAAUUCGGUGGUCAGUAGCUUUUGAUAAAGCUUCCUGCACGUUCUAGCCUUGAGAAGGCAUGGAACAAACAAAAGAUAACUCAGAAGCAGACAAUGAGCCUGCAACUAGCUGGUCCGAGCCUUGGUUCUUUUAGGAGAGACCUUGCCUAUUCUCCUAUCUGAUCACCUGAAAAAACCUGCUGAAUACAGGUAGGGGGAAGUAGAUGUUGACGGCGAGAAUUCCGACGUUCUUGGCCAUUUUCUCUGAUGAGCGUUUAAGUCACUUCAACGAACGAAAUCCCUCAGCGAAAGUAUCCGAGAGAUUGAAAAAUACCUGGUGCUCCUCUCUACUCGUCGAGCUAAAUUUAGAGAGAGGAGGAGAGGAGAGAGAGAUGAAUGUGAGUCUCUCGCACAGAAUCCAAGAAAUUUGCAGAGAGAGGGAUGUUGAGAGGUUUGAAGGUUGUAAUCACUUUGUAAUUUUAUCUGUCGGUGAAGAGGAUGGGCAUUCCGCAGGGCAGCCUGAUUGAAAGAAACAACAAGGUACCUGAGAGAGAUAUUCCCACCCACGACCGACCCACAAAAGACAACGCUCAAAGUAGCAAUCUUGAGGAACUGGAAUGAGAUUUGAUGGUCUAGAGAGGCACAAUCUUGAGGAAAACGAUGGAGAGGUAGCUAAGAACUGCGCAGGCGUCCAUGUGGCACAUUGUGAGGAAGAUUGGGAAUCGGAAGCCAUAGUUGGAGAGUAAGAACUUGUUGAGUAGGAGGCGCCGAUGUUUGAUGAGUACCAGAGGAUUAUGAGGGAAGAUAUGAAAAUGGCUUGCUUAUUUGACAACAUUGCUCAAAUAGGUUGAAGGAGGAUGAGAGAUUUUGAGGUGUUUGUUUGGUGGAACAUGUGCUUAUCCCUAAGCCCAUGACAAAUGUAAAAGGGGAGAGAGCCCUUAUUCUAUAAAAAUGACUCUCCCUCACCCUCAUGAAUGACAGACAUUCGGCCUCACAUCCAGAGAGCCUCACAUUCAUCCCUCACAAUAUAUAGGGCAAUACCCUCUCAACCAAACAGAGAGCAAAAUGGCAAGGGUUGCAUCCACAAAGAGCUCACUUGCCGAUCCAUUGUAAUCCAUACAUACAUACAUAAUCAACAUCAGUGUGGACGUAGCCCAAACAUUGAGGUGAACCACGAUACAUCUUUGUCUUCUUUGGUGUUUAUGUGAUUCACGGCCAGAUUUACGUUAGCCUAAGAUCUGUCGGAUUUUAUGCAUCAACAUUUGGCGCCGUCUGUGAGAAACGACACGAAAAGCUAUGUCGGUUCUCUUUCAAUCUUUCAUCUCACCACUGUGAAACCUUCACAACCUCACCACUAUCCACCGUGGAUUUGCAAAACCCAUAUAGAGACACAAUCUAUCUCUCAUUCCUUCUCUCUCACUUCUCACUCUCUUUCUUCCCUCCGCAAUGAAGUCGUGGAUUGACGACUUAGCCGACGAUCUCCAAAGUCUGAGUUUCACGUCCACCACAACCACCAACACCAACACCAACACUACCAAGCGCAGCACUAGCUCCUGCUCCGAAUCCCUGACCCGGUAAAUCUUCAUCUCCGACCUCAAAUUCGUAGAGCGCCUCGGUUCCGGCGAUAUCGAUUUCGUCUACUUGGCCAAUUCGAAGUCCCUUGCUAGGGGCCAGGGGUGUGUAUUUACUUCGAAGGUGAGGGACAAGAAGGAACUGAUCAGCCGGAGCAAGGAAUGGCGAGCCAGGACAGAGGGGGAAAUACUAGAAAUGUUGGAGCACCCGUUUUUUCCCACGCUCUAUGCGAGCAUCGACGCGCCCAACUGGCUUUUUCUGCUCACCGAAAAAGAGGGCUUGAAGCCCAUGAAAGAUCAUAUAGAUCUUGAUUCACAGACGAAGAAACGAGACCUGAAGGAGAUUGCGGGCAGCUUCUGGUCAGCAUAUUCAGUUUUCAGCAAAAAAUUACAGAAAUGAAGGCAGAAGCAGAAGCUGAAGAAACGGCGGAACGGCUGCGGGUCGGCUCGUUAUCGGUGGAGAAGCCGAUCGUGAGUGUUUCCACCUACUGACAUCAGCCAGAAGAUUUGAGACUUCUGAGCUGGAGAAGGACAUCCGACUUAAAAAAUGGGAUCGGGAUCAGGAUCAUGACAUAUGGAAAGAAGAGAUAGCUUCACAAGCGACCCGUUAAAGACAUUGAUCAUGUGCUCGAAAAUGGGUUUCUCUCGAUUAUCGUGUUUGGUGCUUCUGGUGAUCCUGCCAAGAAGAAGACUUUUACAGAGGCUACUUACCAUCCACCGGUGGAAACAUUCACGAAGAAGAUAAGACUUUAUAUUUCUUUAUGUUAUUUCUCAAUUAUUCUAUAAAUGGUGCCCAGCUUGACUUUUCUUUUGUUUGCCUCAAUUAUUCUAUAAAUGGCGCCCCACCUCCUGCGAAUACCACAGGAAAAGUGGAGAUAAGAUUCUUUUCUCAUAACAAUUCUAUUAUUAUUCCUUGCCAUCUGCCAAAAGAAAAAAGAAAAUAGCUUUAAUUUUCUUUUGUCUGCCAUUACACAUAUUUAACCCAUGUACAUGUGCAAUAUUUAUUCAUUGCCUAGUGAUAUUGUAACUGCUAUUAAACUAUGUCACUUAUACAAUAUGUGAUUUACCAUACGACUGAAUAAAUUAUUUAUUUAUAAAAGGCACAUGGUACAAUAUUUUGCCUUGACAAACUUUGUCAAUUGGAUUUAUUCAUUAUACGGUCAUACUUAUACUGUCAUUUAUUGUCAGGAAUUAUUGAGCAACUAGAUCCACUGAUCAACAUUGUUGCUGAUUAAAAGAACCCAAUAUGCGAACCCGACAAGCGGACCCGAAUCAUGUCGAGAAUCAACUCAUACUGAGUGCAUGCUGACAUAAAGUACAUACUUGCAAUGAGGAACACCACGAGCCGAGCCGCCUUGCAGCGAGCAUCGCCUCUAGCCGAGCAACCUCGCAACGAGCAUCGCCUCCAGCCGAGUAACUGUCUCGCCGCGAGCAUAGCCUCUAGCCUAGCAGCCUCGCAACGAGCAUCGCCUCUAGUCGAGCAGUCUCGCAACGUGUGAUACCUCUAGCCGAGUAUUACUUUAUGUUGAGCAUUGCCUUGUGUUGAGUACUGGUUCAAGACAUCUAGCCACUUCGGCUCGUACAUGGAUUGAAUUUGAAGUCUCCAGCCAAAAGACUCUCUUGACUGAAGACUUGGGGGACUCCUGUUGGUACCAUAUAUUGGGCCUCGUCUUUGGGCCUCAUCCAUAAACCCAUGACAAAUGUAAAAGGGGAGAGAGCCCUUAUUCUAUAAAAUGGACUCUCCCUCACCCUCAUGAAGGACAGACAUUCGGCCGCACAUCCAUAGAGCCUCACAUUCAUCCCUCACAAUAUAGAGGGCAAUACCCUCUCAGCCAAACAGAGAGCAAAAUGGCAAGGGUUGCAUCCACAGAGAGCUCCCUUGCCGAUCUAUUGUAAUCCAUACAUACAUACAUAAUCAACAUCAGUGUGGACGUAACCUAAACAUUAGGAUGAACCACGAUACAUCUUUAUGUUCUUGGGUGUUUGUGUGAUUCACGGCCGAAUUUACGUUGGUCCAAGAUCCUUCAGAUUUUGUGCAUAACACCACUACUUUCGUGUUCUUUUUCAUUAUAUCAUUAAUCAUUCUCGUCUCAUUAAUCUUAUGACGAUUUUCUCAGGAUGAUAUGCUCAUAGCCCAAGAUGAAAUAUUUGGACCCGUAACGGCGCUGAUGAAGUUCAAGUAAGUAGGACAAGUCUGAUUUCUUUUGUUUGAUUCGCCUUCAAGGCUUCAACACGAACAUUGCUUAAGAUCAUGGCGUGUGAAAAUGUUCAGGACAAUUGAGGAGGCAAUACAGAGAGCCAACAACACCAGAUACGGCCUGGCAGCAGGGAUCAUAACCAAGGACUUGAAUGCGGCCAACACCGUCUCAAGGUCAAUUCGUGCGGGCAUUAUUUGGAUCAACUGCUACUUUGCAUUCGAUCGAGACUGCCCUUACGGAGGGUAUAAGAUGAGUGGAUUUGCAAGGGACUUUGGUAUGCAGGCCCUCUAGAAAUACCCCCAUAGCAAAUCUGUUGUCACUCCCAUUUAUAACUCCCCCUGGCUCUAAGUUAUGAUCGAAUCUUACGGCUGCCAGAUUGUGACCUUGUAUUUGUGCAAUAAUAAUACACCUAUUUUUGGGUGACAAGUUUCCAAUUGUAUCAGGUAAUCGUAUGCAAAAUACACAGAAGUUUGAUCGGAUCAAACAGUAACAAUAAAAAGCAUAAUAUUUUGCCAACGAAACAUCAAAUUCCAUUAAUUUCAUGAAAUACAUUGGCGAUUUCAGCCUACUACAUAUCUUUUGCAUCUUUGUACACGGUUUUGAUCACCACACCCGGUUCUUAACUCUCGACACCAACCAAAACGGACCCAUAUACACACGCACCCACACAACAGACAACAUCAUGUUCACGACACAAAACAAUCCUAACAGGACUUUUUCUAUUUCCCAACCUUGCCCCUGAGCUUGACUCCCAGAACCCUCUCCAUCUUCGCCAGCACCGCCUGGUUCGGCACCGCCUUCCCGUUCUCAUACUCCUGCACCACCUGUGGCCGCUCGUUGAUCCGCUUCGCCAGCUCCGCCUGGCUCAUCUUCUUCUCCAGCCGCGCCUUCUGUGUCGCCUGUCGCACCUCCCGUCGAGACCCGCUCCAGCGCCGCCGGCUCGGCCGCCUCCUCGAGCUUCUUCACGCUGACCACCGGCCCCGCCUUCUUGUUCGAGCCCCCGUCGAAUUUCUUGAUCGUCUGGACCGGCGCACCCGACCGCAUCGCCUGGUUCACCGCCUUCGGGUCGCGGAGGGCGCUGGCCUUAUUGGGCUUCUUCUGGAGGACCACCGGCUCCCAGUCCUGGGAUAUGACUCCUGGGUUUCGGAUCGGCAUCGUCGGAGAACUAGAGAAAUCUAGAGAGAGAGAGAGAGAGAUUUUAGAGAGAGAGAGAGAGAGUAUUCUGGAUUUUUGUUUGCGGGUUUGGAGGGGAAAAUGAUCGGGGACGAUGAAGUUUGGUGCGCAAUUUAUAGUGGGGCGAGAAUCUGGAAAGUUCUCAAAGGUUCUUUUAGAUAGAAAAUGAAAAUUCCCGGGGGCGGUUAAUGUGUACCUGGUUUUUCAUAUCCGGUUGUCCAUCGCUGCGUAAUGCUCCGUUGUUUGACAACGUGGCUGUACACUAUUGGUGCUUGGCUGGAAGGUUUUCACUUCGUCGCGUAGAGGAUAAUCUUUUCUUUUUCCUUUUUAUUGGAGUAGAGGACCUUUAAGAAUUCGAGAUUAAACGGCCUGUCGUAUGGAUAGAUUUUUGUAGUGCGAAUAUUAUCUCAAAUGUUGAAAUAGUUGAAUUUUUUAAAUAUUCAAUUAUUUAUAUUAUGACAUAUGGUGUAGUAGACCAAUGUCGAAGAUUUUUCUGAUGUCUUGCUUUGUUUGCAACACGAACAUAACAUAAGAGCUUGUAUUGAUCGGUCGACUGACAAAAAUCACAAGAAUUAUGUAGCUUCUGGCGUAAAAAUUUUCGGUUUUCACUGCCUCUAUCAUGUAACCUUAUAUUUAGGGUCUAAUUAAUCACUGUCGCAUCUUUGUAUUUUGCUAAAUUGCAUCCUGAAAUGUCCCCUUAACGGAAAAGGAAGAAAAGGAGGAGAUAAAUGUGGUAGAAACCAUCAAUUAUCAAUCCUAAACCACAAAUUAACUAAAAACCCAAAACCAAUUAGAAAUUAAACAAACCUCUUGUUUUCCCGGGAAAUUCGGGUUUUGUAUAACUUUUUCAAAUGACCAAAACACCCUCCUAUUUCACUCUUGCAUUUUAAGUAACACUGUCGGUAGUUGACACCAGAAACCCAAAAUGGUCCUUCCGCAGCACUAGAACCACACAACUAACUUAACCGUUUUUUGAAAUUUGUUCGUUCUUCUCUCUCCCCUCCUCCCCUGAGACUGCCAUGCAUGGAGAAAGAUCCGAUCAGUGAAGAAAACGGCAAAUCGAGCCGGAACAAGCAAACAAAAUUCAAGAGGAAAGAGCUGGGAUUGUCGUGCAUGCUAAACACCGAACUCGGCGCCGUCCUUGCCGUCAUCCGCCGUCCCCUCAACCCGACUUCCCACUGCUUCGCCGCCCCGGAAGACACCAUCGACCCUUCCCUUCUCCAAUCCCUAAAAUCCCUCCGCGCCCUGAUCUUCAAUCCCCAGCAGGAAUGGCGCACAAUAGACCCCUCCAUCUACCUCUCCCCCUUCCUGGAUGUCAUCCAAAGCGAGGACGUCCACGCCGCUGCCACUCGCGUCGCCCUCUCCGCCACGCUGAAGAUUAUCAAGCUCGGAGUCUUCGACGAGAAGACUCCGGGGGCGAAAGAAGCUAUUAACACCAUGGUCACAUCCAUCACCACGUGCCGGCUCGAAAGGACCGAUUCUGUCAACGAGGACGCCGUGAUGCUGAGCAUCCUUCAGGUCCUGACCGGAAUCAUGAACCACCGAGCUUCGGUUCUGCUCUCCGAUCAGUCAGUGUGCACAAUUGUGAACACCUGUUUUCAGGUGGUUCAGCAAUCGGCGAACAGAGGAGACUUGCUAAUGCGAAGUGCGAGGUACAAUGCACGAGCUGAUCCAGAUCAUUUUUUCGCGGUUGCCGGAAAUUGAUUUCAGGGAUGACGAGAGCUUGGCCAGUACUGACACCGAGGACGCCGAUGCAGACGAUGGGACUAUGGAUUCCGGAUAUGGGAUCCGGUGUGCGGUUGAUAUUUUUCACUUCUUGUGUUCUUUGUUGAAUGUGGUUCAGGUGGUUGAGACAGAUCAAGGGUCUACUGUGCAAACUGCCAACGAGGAUGUGCAGCUUUUCGCUCUCGUUCUGAUCAACUCCGCGAUCGAUUUGAGCGGGGAUGGAAUCGGGUCGCAUUCGAAGUUGUUGAGGAUGAUGAAAGACGAUCUCUUUCACCAUUUGGUUCACUACGGCACGCGUUCAAGCCCGCUUGUUUUUUCCAUGAUUUGCAGUACGGUUUUGAACAUGUAUCACUUUCUUCGGAGGUGAGGUUUUCGGGUUCAUUUCAAGAUGCCUAUAUUUCCUGUUCUAAUUUUCACACUUCUAUUUGGGAAUUCUUUGCUUUGUUUUUGCAGGUUCAUUCGUCUUCAGUUAGAAGCGUUCUUCACGUUUGUGCUGUUUCGAGUUUCAGCUCCCGGAGUGUCAAUCCAACUUCAAGAGGUUGCACUUGAAGGGAUUAUAAAUUUCUGCAGACAACUGACAUUCGUCGUAGAGGUCUAUGUGAACUACGACUGUGAUCCGCUUUGCCAUAAUGUGUUCGAGGAGAUAGGGAAGUUGCUUUGCAAGCUGUCCUUUCCGGUCGCAAGCCCUUUGACAACUUUACAGAUACAAGCCUUUGAAGGGUUAGUUAUCAUGAUCCACAACAUUGCAGACAGUAUUGAUAAAGAAAAUGAUACAAGCCCGUCUGGACCCUACCCGAUUGAGAUCAGAGAGUAUACGCCGUUUUGGGAAGACAAACCAAAAGAUGAUUCAGAAGCUUGGGUGCAAUUUGUAAGGCUGAGGAAAGCGCAGAAGAGGAAAAUAUUGAUUGCCGGACACCAUUUUAAUUGCGACGAAAAGAAGGGAAUGGAGUACUUGAAGCUUUCCAACUUAGUCUCUGACCCUCCGGAUCCAAAGACUUUGGCUUAUUUCUUUCGUUACACUCCUGGGCUUGACAAGACGAUGAUAGGCGAUUAUCUUGGUGAUCCUGAUGAGUUUCACAUCAAAGUACUUAAAGAAUUCACGGGAGCCUUUGGAUUUUCAGGCAUGAAUCUCGAUAGUGCUCUCCGAACUUAUCUGGAGACUUUCCGUUUGCCAGGAGAGUCCCAGAAGAUUCAGAGGAUUCUCGAAGCGUUUUCAGAGAGUUUUUUUGAGCAGCAGUCUGCAGAUGUUUUUGUGAACAAAGAUACUGUAUUCAUUCUUUGCUACUCUCUCAUUAUGCUCAAUACUGACCAGCACAAUCCGCAAGUAAAGAAGAAGAUGACGGAAGAAGAGUUCAUCAGGAAUAAUAGGGCAAUCAAUGGAGGGAAGGAUCUUCCUAGAGAGUAUCUGUCUGAGCUUUUCCAAUCCAUAUCGAACAAUGCAAUCACGCUUUUUGGUCAAUCUGGUAUGACAGUACUAAUGAACCCGAGCAGAUGGAUUGAGUUGAUGAACUGUUCCAAAACAGUGCAGCCUUUCAUUCUGUGUGAUUUUGAUCGUCGGCUAGGAAGAGACAUGUUUGCUUGCAUCGCUGGCCCUUCAGUCGCUACUAUUUCUGCAUUUUUCGAGCAAGCUGAAGAAGAGGAGUUGCUCCAUGAAUGCAUUGAAGGAUUAUUCUCGGUAGCCAGGAUAGCGCAGUAUGGACUGGAGGACACACUCGAUGAGCUCAUUGCCACCUUCUCGAGAUUCACCACGCUGCUUAAUCCUUACGCCUCUGCAGAAGAAACACUCUUUGCUUUUAGCAAAGAUUUGAAGCCAAGAAUGGCUACACUCGCUGUUUUCACCAUCGCAAACAACUUUGGAGAGUCAAUCAGAGGGGGUUGGAGGAACAUUGUGGACUGUUUGUUGAAACUCAAGAGGCUUAAACUCCUUCCCCAAAAUGUUCUCGAAUUUGAUGCUUCCACCUCAUCUGAUGCUCAACCUACAUCUGAAUCGGGUGUAAUCUUCCCUGGUCACGAUCCCAAAUUUGGAGGACGACAGGCUUCUGGCAUGAUUAGUCGAUUCUCACAUUUUCUAUCACUAGAGAGUCCGGAAGAUGCUGUAUCUCUUGGCAUGAGUGAAUUUGAACAGAACCUGAAGGUUAUCAAACAAUGCCGAAUUGGGAACAUCUUCAGCACUAGUUCAAACUUUCCUGAGGACUCUUUGCUGAACCUCGGGCGUUCGCUAAUAUAUGCAGCUGCAGGGAAAGGGCAGAAGUUUAGCACACCUGUUGAAGAAGAAGAGGCCGUUGAGUUCUGCUGGGAUUUGAUGGUUGCCAUCUCUUUGGCCAACGUCCAUAGAUUCCAAGCAUUUUGGUCUAGUUUUAAUGAUUAUCUGCUGGCGGUUGCUCAGUUUCCGAUGUUCUCCCCAAUCCCAUUUGCUGAAAAGGCCAUUGUAGGCCUCUUCAAGGUCUGUCUGAAGCUCCUUGGCACAUACCAACCUGACAGAGUCCCCGAGGAGCUCAUUUUCAAGUCGAUAAAUCUAAUGUGGAAGCUGGAAAAAGAAAUUCUCGACACUUGCAGCGAGUCCAUUACACAAUCAUUAAACAAGAUUCUCGUUGAGUACCCUGCCAAUUUGCAAACCCAACUCGGAUGGAAGUCAGUUCUCCACUUGUUAUCAGUCUCCGGGCGACACCCUGACACCUAUGAGCAGGGAGUUGAGACUCUGAUCAUGGUGAUGUCCGAUGGAACCCAUGUAUCGCGGACAAAUUAUGCUUACUUCAUUGACUGUGCCUUUGGUUUCAUUGCUCUAAAAAACAGCCCAUCAGAGAAGAACUUGAAGAUACUUGACCUAUUAGCGGAUUCUGUAAAUUUGUUGAUCCAAUGGUACAGAAAUCAUUACUCAGAUCCCGGGAACAAUUACAGCAUCGCGAGCAACACUAGUACCUCCUCCUUAGAAGACUCGAAAGGUUUCGGCUCUAACAACUUUACCAUGAAUUUGUUUGUCAAGCUAGGGGAGGCAUUCCGAAAGACCAGCCUAGCUCGGCGAGAAGAAAUAAGAAACCAUGCAGUCUUGUCUCUUAAAAGAAGUUUCCAACUUGCUGAGGAACUAGAAUUCACACCAACCAACUGUAUCAACUGUUUCAACCUCCUUAUCUUCGCGAUGGUGGAUGAUCUGCACGAAAAGAUGCUGGAGUACUCACGAAGAGAGAACGCAGAGAAGGAGAUGAGAGGCAUGGAAGGGACCUUGAAGAUUGCAUUGGAGCUCCUCACAGAUGUGUACUUGCAGUUUCUGAUACCAAUUUCGCAAUGCAGCGGCUUUCGGACAUUUUGGUUAGGAGUGUUGAGAAGGAUGGACACAUGUAUGAAGGCGGAUUUGGGAUCGUAUGGUGAAUCAAAACUGCCGGAAGUUGUGCCGGAGUUGCUGAGAAAGUUGAUUACGGAGAUGAAGGAGAAGGAGAUUUUAGUGCCGAAGGAGGGUGACGAUCUUUGGGAGAUAACACACAUUCAGAUACAGUGGAUAGCUCCUUCAAUCAAGGAGGAGCUAUUUCCAGAAGAAAGUUUGUAAAAAAUUGAAGAAAAUACUACCAUAAACUUCUUAAAAUUGAAGAUUAAUAUUCCGGCGAUGCUUUAGUCGUCGGAUCUCCGGUCUAGCCCGGUUUUGGACCUGUGAGUAUUUCUUAUUUUAGCUUACAACAUUUUUCACAGAAAAUUUUAAUUAUAAUCAAAUUUCGCGACAUAUUACCAGAACAAAAAUAAUUUCAUAAAACUAAAAGAUAACAGUAGAUGAUAUGACAGUAACAGAUUAGAUACGCAUGUCUUGCAAGUUAAUCAAAAGCCCCUGUGCUAUCAAAUUACAUAAUAAAGUUUUUAUGAGAUGUUAGCGCAUUCUUUACUUGAGCCGGGAGGAUAAGUUCAUCUCCGAAACAGUUGAGAACAGUUGUUGAUGUCCCCAUCCUUCUCGAUCAUCACAAGUCCUGCGGCAAGAAAUUAGGACAAAUUUAGAAAUUUCAUUAACAAGAAGAUGGUUUUUUGAAUCCGGUCAAUAUAACAUUCGACCUUGAAGAGUUAUGUUAACAACAUCUUGUUCCAAAUCACACACAAAGAAAUGAUACAAAUGUAUUCUGGAUCAUUCUGCUACAACGGACAAUGAAGUAGCGCAUUAGGCAAGUAGAAUUUGCUGAAGAAAACGAAUAGCCAUGAGUACAACAACAGGCCUAAGGAGAUUUUCUAGCUAAGCUAGACAGCCAACAGAAUGAUAGACGGUCUAAAGCCUCGGUUCUAACAAUGUUGAUCAAUGUCGAGGCUUUGGCAAACAAAUGGAACUUACUUUGACAAUGUUGUCAAAUGCUCUCAAACACGAGGCUAUGAAGUUCUAAUGUUUGACAGUCUGAAGCCUCAUCUCUAACAAUGUGCGAUAUGACUGCAACAAAAUUGUAUCUUUUACUCAAUCAACAGAGAAAAUGCCAUGAAACAACAUAUAUUCACAUAACUCAACAGCGGAAUAAAACCAAUUCGUUAAUUCUUUGGAGCGAGCAACACAAUGUUACAACAACAACAAAGCCUUUUCCCACUAGGUAGGGUCAGCUAGCAACACAAUGUUAGAUACACAAAAUUAUACAGUCAGAGCAAACUUAGCAUAUCAUAAUACAAUAAUCUCACAAAAAUUAUAUCUAAAGAAAUAACGAAAUGUCAAAUGUUAUGCAAUUGUAGCAAGAAAUUCAAUAUGCCAACUAAGUUGAAGCAAAAGGGAGAUACC
Molecule: long non-coding RNA, 42978 nt
Filed under: Malus domestica (apple)
Lineage: Eukaryota; Viridiplantae; Streptophyta; Magnoliopsida; Rosales; Rosaceae
Description: long non-coding RNA (MDOM_LNC001347)
Source: RNAcentral